UACGUAGGGUGCGAGCGUUGUCCGGAAUUACUGGGCGUAAAGAGCUCGUAGGCGGUUUGUCGCGUCGUCUGUGAAAUCCUCCAGCUUAACUGGGGGCGUGCAGGCGAUACGGGCAGACUUGAGUACUACAGGGGAGACUGGAAUUCCUGGUGUAGCGGUGAAAUGCGCAGAUAUCAGGAGGAACACCGGUGGCGAAGGCAGGUCUCUGGGCUGUAACUGACGCUGAGGAGCGAAAGCAGGGGGAGCGAACAGC
This 253-nucleotide unclassified non-coding RNA is filed under the name uncultured Acidimicrobiia bacterium. Its description in RNAcentral is "contains 16S-23S intergenic spacer region". It matches the Rfam family "Bacterial small subunit ribosomal RNA", at positions 524 to 776 of the family's 1533-position model. Lineage: Bacteria; Bacillati; Actinomycetota; Acidimicrobiia. The record is from RNAcentral.